RNAcentral lists this long non-coding RNA (603 nucleotides) under Heterocephalus glaber (naked mole-rat). RNAcentral describes it as "lncRNA (ENSHGLG00100046218.1)". The record is from RNAcentral. Lineage: Eukaryota; Metazoa; Chordata; Mammalia; Rodentia; Bathyergidae.
GUUUCUUCUCUGCGAUGCCUGUCAUGCCACCCUGCCUUGGAGCCUUCUGAUUAUGAACCUUUACCAACUGCGGGACUCAAGACUCCUCCCGGGAGAGAACACAGAAGGGCUCAUGCCCUGUGCCCUGAGGAGCUCAGAGCUCAGAGACGGUGGCUCCAGGUCUGCAUGGGCUCGUCAUUCCUGCUCAAGACCCCAGAGCCCUCGGAGAAGACACCCCCAGACUCCUCCUCGGCCAUCAUGGGCAGAAAGCACAGGCGACCAGGGACCCAGCUGAGCCGUCUUAGGAUGUCCUUGCUCUCUCCACCGCAGCUCUGGUGUCCAUGACCGGGAGGGAAAGCGGGAAGAGGAAAGGCGGGAGGGGCCACUAGGCCACUCCGAGGCUGGGAAGUGGAUGUUUUGUGUUCUGCUCCAACUUUCCCUGCUCAGAGCGAGGUGCAGGUGAAGAGGGUGAUCACUCUGAGAUGGGUCUUCAAGGGGCCACCAGGUGGAUCAGAACCAUGCCGCCGUUGUUUGGGACCCUCGCUGACCUCUGUCCUCCUUCCACACCUUCCCAGCCACCUCCCCUGGGGCUGUGCUCUCCGUCCAUGGUGUCCGAAGACUUGG